Molecule: non-coding RNA, 109 nt
Organism: Picea glauca (white spruce)
Lineage: Eukaryota; Viridiplantae; Streptophyta; Pinopsida; Pinales; Pinaceae
Source: Rfam
UACAACAUAGUGUUAAUGCAUUGGAUCCCAUUAGAAAUUUGCAGUUAAGCGAGCUCAAGAUAGAGUAGUACUAGGAUGGGUGACCGCUCAUGAAGUCCUAGUGUUUAAC